Molecule: ribosomal RNA, 487 nt
Rfam family: 5.8S ribosomal RNA (bases 170-323)
AGCAUGUGGCUGGCUGCUGUUUUGCUGGCCAUUGGUGCACUGUGCACGUAUCCAGUCACUUGUCUCUUUUUUUCCACCUGUGCAUUGCUGUAGACUAUUAUAUAAGUCUAUGAUACAUUACACAUACAUGCAUGUUAUAUUGUCAAAUGUAUGUAAUCCCAAAAAAUAUAACUUUCAACAAUGGAUCUCUUGGUUCUCGCAUCGAUGAAGGACACAGCGAAAUGUGAUAAGUAAUGUGAAUUGCAGAAUUCAGUGAAUCAUUGAAUCUUUGAAUGCAUCUUGUGCUCCUUGGUAUUCCGAGGAGCAUGCCUGUUUGAGUGUCAUUAAGAUCUAUCAAAUCACUUUAUUUCUGAGUGUUUUGGAUUUUGGGAGCUUUGCUAGCUAUUGAGUAAAAUCCUAGCUCUCCUGAAAAGCAUUGGCUUGGAGACCUAAUUGAUGUGAUAAAUUGUCUGCAUCACCUUGUCAUCUCUGCCAUUUUUUUGAAAAA